CCUACGCUUGAAUACAUUAGUCAUGGAUAAUGAAAUAGGACGUUCGAACCUAUUUGUUGGUUUCUUAGGAUNAACGUAAUGAUUAAUAGGGAUAUUGGGGGCGAUUAGUAUUCAAUUGUCAGAGGUGAAAUUCUUUGGAUUUAUUGAAGACUAACUACUGCGAAAAGCAUUUUGCCAAGGAUGUUUUCAUUAAUCAAGAACGAAAGUUAGGGGAUCGAAGACGAUCAGAUACCGUCGUAGUCUUAACCAUAAACUAUGCCGACUAGGGAUCGGAUGAUGUUAAUUUUUUAAUGACUCAUUCGGCGCCUUACA
Molecule: ribosomal RNA, 312 nt
Filed under: uncultured Glomus
Lineage: Eukaryota; Fungi; Glomeromycota; Glomeromycetes; Glomerales; Glomeraceae
Description: SSU rRNA
Rfam family: Eukaryotic small subunit ribosomal RNA
Source: RNAcentral